UACGGAGGGUGCGAACGUUAAUCGGAAUCACUGGGCGUAAAGCGUGCGUAGACGGUUAUGUAAGUCAGGUGUGAAAGCCCCGGGCUCAACCUGGGAAUUGCAUUUGAGACUGCAUAGCUAGGGUGCGGAAGAGGGAAGCGGAAUUUCCGGUGUAGCGGUGAAAUGCGUAGAUAUCGGAAGGAACAUCAGUGGCGAAAGCGGCUUCCUGGUCCAGCACCGACGUUCAGGCACGAAAGCGUGGGGAGCAAACAGG
RNAcentral lists this ribosomal RNA (253 nucleotides) under uncultured bacterium. Its description in RNAcentral is "partial 16S ribosomal RNA". It matches the Rfam family "Bacterial small subunit ribosomal RNA", at positions 524 to 776 of the family's 1533-position model. The record is from RNAcentral.